This 485-nucleotide ribosomal RNA is filed under the name uncultured bacterium. Its description in RNAcentral is "partial 16S ribosomal RNA". It matches the Rfam family "Bacterial small subunit ribosomal RNA", at positions 28 to 523 of the family's 1533-position model. The record is from RNAcentral.
GAUGAACGCUAGCGGCAGGCCUAAUACAUGCAAGUCGAACGGUGUCUUCGGACAUAGUGGCGCACGGGUGCGUAACACGUAUGCAACCUACCUUACAUUGGGGGAUAGCCUUUCGAAAGGGAGAUUAAUACCGCAUAAGACAGUAGCUGGGCAUCCAGCAGCUGUUAAGGAUUUAUCGAUGUAAGCUGGGCAUGCGUCCAAUUAGCUAGUUGGUGAGGUAACGGCUCACCAAGGCAAUGAUUGGUAGGGGAACUGAGAGGUCCAUACCCCACACUGGCAAUGGGAUCAGGGCCAGACUCCUAGCGGAGGCAGCAGUGGGGGAAAUUGGGCAAUGUACGCAAGUCUGCCCCGACCGGGCCGCGAGGAGGCUGAACGGGUUAUGGGGUGGAAGCGGGUUUUAUACAGGAAGAAACGACUCUUGCGAGAGGCAUUGACGGUACUGUAUGAAUAAGCACCGGCUAACUCCGUGCCAGCCGCCGCCGUAA